RNAcentral lists this ribosomal RNA (253 nucleotides) under uncultured bacterium. RNAcentral describes it as "partial 16S ribosomal RNA". It matches the Rfam family "Bacterial small subunit ribosomal RNA", at positions 524 to 776 of the family's 1533-position model. The record is from RNAcentral.
UACGUAGGGACCAAGCGUUGUUCGGAUUUACUGGGCGUAAAGGGCGCGUAGGCGGCAAUUCAAGUCAGCUGUGAAAUCUCCGGGCUUAACUCGGAACGGUCAGCUGAUACUGCUUUGCUAGAGUGCGGAAGGGGCAAUCGGAAUUCUCGGUGUAGCGGUGAAAUGCGUAGAUAUCGAGAGGAACACCUGAGGUGAAGACGGGUUGCUGGGCCGACACUGACGCUGAGGCGCGAAAGCCAGGGUAGCAAACGGG